GAGUUUGAUCAGGGCUCAGAUUGAACGCUGGCGGCAUGCCUAACACAUGCAAGUCGAACGGAAACGAUGCUAGCUUGCUAGCAGGCGUCGAGUGGCGGACGGGUGAGUAAUGCAUAGGAAUCUACCUAAUAGUGGGGGACAACCUGGUGAAAACCAGGCUAAUAAUACCGCAUAAUCCCUACGGGGCAAAGCAGGGACCUUCGGGCCUUGCGCUAAUAGAUGAGCCUAUGUCGGAUUAGCUAGUUGGUGAGGUAAUGGCUCACCAAGGCGACGAUCCGUAGCUGGUUUGAGAGGAUGAUCAGCCACACUGGGACUGAGACACGGUCCAGACUCCUACGGGAGGCAGCAGUGGGGAAUAUUGCACAAUGGGCGAAAGCCUGAUGCAGCAAUGCCGCGUGUGUGAAGAAGGCCUGCGGGUUGUAAAGCACUUUCAGUAGGGAGGAAAAAGCAAUGCUAAUACCAUUGUCUAAUGACGUUAACCUACAGAAGAAGCACCGGCUAACUCUGUGCCAGCAGCCGCGGUAAUACAGAGGGUGCGAGCGUUAAUCGGAAUUACUGGGCGUAAAGAGUACGUAGGCGGUUAUUUAAGUCGGAUGUGAAAUCCCCGGGCUCAACCUGGGAAUUGCACUCGCAACUGGAUAGCUAGAGUACAGCAGAGGAAAGUGGAAUUUCUAGUGUAGCGGUGAAAUGCGUAGAUAUUAGGAAGAACACCAGUGGCGAAGGCGGCUUCUUGGAUUGAUACUGACACUGAGGUACGAAAGCGUGGGGAGCAAACAGGAUUAGAUACCCUGGUAGUCCACGCCCUAAACGAUGAGAACUAGAUGUUGGAGGAAAUUGAUCCUUUAGUAUCGUAGCUAACGCGAUAAGUUCUCCGCCUGGGGAGUACGGCCGCAAGGUUAAAACUCAAAUGAAUUGACGGGGGCCCGCACAAGCGGUGGAGCAUGUGGUUUAAUUCGAAGCAACGCGAAGAACCUUACCUACUCUUGACAUCCUCAGAACUUAGCAGAGAUGCUUUGGUGCCUUCGGGAACUGAGUGACAGGUGCUGCAUGGCUGUCGUCAGCUCGUGUUGUGAAAUGUUGGGUUAAGUCCCGUAACGAGCGCAACCCUUGUCCUUAUUUGCCAGCACGUAAUGGUGGAACUCUAAGGAGACUGCCGGUGACAAACCGGAGGAAGGUGGGGACGACGUCAAGUCAUCAUGGCCCUUACGAGCGGGGCUACACACGUGCUACAAUGGCCAGGACAAACGGUUGCAACCCCGCGAGGGUGAGCUAAUCUGAGAAACCUGGUCGUAGUCCGGAUCGCAGUCUGCAACUCGACUGCGUGAAGUCGGAAUCGCUAGUAAUCGUGAAUCAGAAUGUCACGGUGAAUACGUUCCCGGGCCUUGUACACACCGCCCGUCACACCAUGGGAGUGGAUUGCACCAGAAGUAGCUAGCUUAACCUUCGGGAGGGCGGUUACCACGGUGUGGUUCAUGACUGGGGUGAAGUCGAAACAAGGUAACCCU
RNAcentral lists this ribosomal RNA (1505 nucleotides) under uncultured prokaryote. RNAcentral's name for it is "partial 16S ribosomal RNA". It matches the Rfam family "Bacterial small subunit ribosomal RNA". The record is from RNAcentral.